CAGGGAAUAUUAGAAAUGGACGAAAGUCUGAUCUAGCAACACCGCGUGUGCGAUGAAGGCCUUCGGGUUGUAAAGCACUUUUUGGAAGGAUUAGGAAGGAAUGUACUUCCAGAAUAAGUCUCGGCUAACUACGUGCCAGCAGCCGCGGUAACACGUAGGAGGCGAACGUUAUCCGGAUUUACUGGGCGUAAAGCGCGUGUAGGUGGUUCUGUAAGUAGAGCGUGAAAGCUCCUGCUCAACUGGGAGAGGCCGUUCUAAACUACAGAGCUAGAGGAUGGUAGAGGGAGGUGGAAUUCCGGGUGUAGCGGUGGAAUGCGCAGAUAUCCGGAGGAACACCAGUGGCGAAGGCGGCCUCCUGGACCAUUCCUGACACUCAGACGCGAAAGCUAGGGUAGCAAACGG
RNAcentral lists this ribosomal RNA (402 nucleotides) under uncultured bacterium. RNAcentral's name for it is "bacterial SSU rRNA". It matches the Rfam family "Bacterial small subunit ribosomal RNA", at positions 355 to 775 of the family's 1533-position model. The record is from RNAcentral.